UGGGGAAUCUUGCGCAAUGGGGGCAACCCUGACGCAGCCAUGCCGCGUGAAUGAUGAAGGCCUUAGGGUUGUAAAGUUCUUUUGCCCGUGACGAUGAUGACGGUAACGGGAGAAUAAGCUCCGGCUAACUUCGUGCCAGCAGCCGCGGUAAUACGAAGGGGGCUAGCGUUGUUCGGAAUUACUGGGCGUAAAGCGCGCGCAGGCGGUUUUGUAAGUUAGGGGUGAAAUCCCCGGGCUCAACCCGGGAAUGGCCUUUAAGACUGCAAGGCUAGAGGACGAGAGAGGUGAGUGGAAUUCCCAGUGUAGAGGUGAAAUUCGUAGAUAUUGGGAAGAACACCGGUGGCGAAGGCGGCUCACUGGCUCGUUUCUGACGCUGAGGCGCGAAAGCGUGGGGAGCAAACAGG
This 404-nucleotide ribosomal RNA is filed under the name uncultured bacterium. RNAcentral's name for it is "bacterial SSU rRNA". It matches the Rfam family "Bacterial small subunit ribosomal RNA", at positions 355 to 776 of the family's 1533-position model. The record is from RNAcentral.